ACUGGGCAUGGUGGCGCAUGCCUGUAAUCCCAGCUACUCAGGAGGCUGAGGCAGGAGAAUCGCUUGAACCCAGGAGGCAGAGGUUGAAGUGAGCUGAGGUCGCGCCACUGCACUCCAGCCUGGGUAACAGAGCGAGACUCUGUCUCAA
Molecule: unclassified non-coding RNA, 148 nt
Organism: Pongo abelii (Sumatran orangutan)
Lineage: Eukaryota; Metazoa; Chordata; Mammalia; Primates; Hominidae
Rfam family: Metazoan signal recognition particle RNA
About the family: The signal recognition particle (SRP) is a universally conserved ribonucleoprotein. It is involved in the co-translational targeting of proteins to membranes.
Source: Ensembl